AGCAGAUGGCUAAAUUAUGUUACCGGACAUGAACCGGAUUUCUUUGGAAAUUUUCUUGUUGGAAGGGUGUCCAGCAGCAAGUAUCAUCUCAACUACCUUGCUCUAAUGCCCACUUUUUUGCAUGGGAAAAUGUUGUUCAGGUAUGUUCGGCCUGAUGAAUCAGUGCAAGGGAAGAGGAGGUCAUUAACGAAAGACUUAGUCUGCACAGGAGACUGAAGUUAUGUCGUGAACACAAGAUGAACGUUGGAAAAAAUCAGCACCAUAAUAUUGGUAUCCAUUCUUCCAGCUACAGCUACUAAAUGAAAAUUGGGUAUAGGGACUGGUGUACGUGAAAAUCCUAGAAGAUCAGCAGUUUCUGAGAUACUGAAACCGCCCUGUCUGACACCAACAAUCAUUGCAUGGUCAAAGUCACUUCGAUCACAUCUCUUCCCCAUUCUGCCAUUUGGUCUGAACAACAACUGAACCUCUUGACCAUAUCUGCAUGCUUUUAUACAUUG
Molecule: long non-coding RNA, 497 nt
Organism: Hypanus sabinus (Atlantic stingray)
Lineage: Eukaryota; Metazoa; Chordata; Chondrichthyes; Myliobatiformes; Dasyatidae
Exons: 3
Source: RefSeq, a predicted model, not a curated record